This is a ribosomal RNA of Loxodonta africana (African savanna elephant), 96 nucleotides long. The record is from Ensembl. Lineage: Eukaryota; Metazoa; Chordata; Mammalia; Proboscidea; Elephantidae.
UCACCCUGAAUGCGCCUGGUCACCUCUGAUCUCGGAAGCUAGGCAGGGUCGAGCCUGGCUAGUACUCGGAUGGGAGCGCAGCACAGAGGUUCAGAA